GCUCACAGAGGCUGUGCAGGCUCCUGUGAGUCUGGGCCUAGCGGGUGGGUUUCCCUCCUCAGGCAGCAGGACCAGCUCCAACAGGAGGCAGCGCUGCACGAGCUAAGGAAGCUCUUGACGGCCAGCCAGGAAGCCCUGCUGCAGGACCCCGCAUGCUUGGGGGCACCCCAUGACCACCUGUCUGGGCAGGAUGAGGCCCUCAUGGGCCAGCACAGCCACCUGAGACACUGCCGCAUUGGUCCCUAGAGAUGGAGAGCCAGGCGGUCAGGCUGAGGCAGCAGGACCAGCUCCAGUAGGAGGCAGCGCUGUAGGAGCAGGAGGCCAAGGCCCUGGCUGCCCAGGAGAACGAGAGGCUGCCAUAGGAGGUAGACAGGAGCAGAUUCCCAGCAGUGGAGUCACAGGGGCGUGUGGUGUGUGAGACAUUGCUGAUCUGGGUUUUAGGUGCUCACCCAUGUGAGGCAGACCUUGGAGGAAGAAAAACGUAAGUUCAGGAGCCAGAUCAAGAUGUUGGCCAAGCAGAACCGGAGACUUCUAGAAGAGAGUGCGGAGAACAAGGCUCGGUGCAUGUAAGGGGCGGGGGCUGACCGACACCUGUCCACACAGGGCUCCUGGCUUCCAGCUCCACGCCCAGGCCUCGACAUUCUGGGCAGAGAACCCCCUGGUGCACUCGUGUCCCAAGGGCAAGGGACAGACCAUCGCCCAGUGCAUCCUUCUCUUGUUUCUUGGAAUGGUUCUAGCUUUCUGCAAGGAGGGGUGUUUGGCUUUUGUUGGCUUUUCAAAGACAGUGCCCAUUGCCAGACAAUUCUUAAUCUGCUUUUGGAAUUAAGUUCAAUUUAAAAACAUGACAGAGAUACCUAGAGAAGGAAUUCAGAUUGCAGGCUCAGCCCUUUGUGUCUGAUUUCCCCUUAAUGGGCUGGAGAGAGGGUUGUGGGUGCAUUGUGGUUGUCCUCCCUCUGACAACAGGACACAGACCUGUGAGGCACACAGAACCAAUGACCCGAUGGCCAGGAGCCAGGAGGUGUGAUGGGAUGUGAGCAGAGCUGUGUGCACACCAGGUAAGUGUUGAGGAGCUCCAUGGAGGCAUAGAAGGCAGCAUGGUGGUGGGAGUUAGAAUUCUGCUGCUAACAAGGCUAGCCAGUGGGGGAGGUGAAGCUGGAGCGUGACGUGGUCCGUGUGCAGGGAAGUGCCGGCAGUGGCAGAAGGGAAGGCUGGCAUAGGCGGUGCUCAGCUGUGGAGGACAUCCAUGCCCCGCUAAUGAUUUGGAUUCACUUGAAGUAUUUAAGAGAUGCUGGUCAACAAGUCUGGGGGAGCUGCCAGAAAUGAGGCAGGAGGAAGAGGCUUGGUGCGGGAAAUCUUGUGGUUUGGAUGUCAAGUAAUCCGAGAUGCACCUGGUGGGUCCAUGGUGGUCUUCACCCCUCAGUGUUGUGCUGCUGGACUGUCCUUGCUUGUGAUCGGGACUGGCUGGCCAUGAGGGACAGAGAGACAUGGUCACAGUAACCACAGGGGCACUGGCCCAGCCCCUGGGGGUCACGAUGCUGCUUCACUGUUCUCCUGGAGUCUUCUGCUCGUCUACAAGUGGCUCACCACCUACCAAGAAUGGUCUACAUGGAAAACCACACUACAGUUUUGGUGUAGAAAUGACUGUGGCCUGAAAUUGGCUCUCUAUAAUGCAGCUGGUAAAAAUUACCAACAGAGGUCAGGCAGGUGCUAACUAGAAGAGCAGAGCCUGGUACAGAGGAGGAUGAUCUGAUGAUGGUUUCACAUUAGACAGUGUCUGCAGGAGGCCAGGGAGUUGGCAGGCUUCCUGAGUCUGCUCCUAGUGGAGUCGUCCCCAGCACGGGGAAGGUUGCAGGGCCUGCCAUCCGUGAUUUUGGGUGCCUAGGGGUGGGGGGGUCGGUCAGAGCCAGACAAGAAAGCACUGUAGCACAAGGCCAAGCAGCAGGGCUGUGGGAGAACACCACAGACUAGAAGACCAGAUGCUGAGCCAAGGGCGCUGGGAGCAGAGCAAGGUCAGUGGUCAGGGGCCCAGCUGUUUGUGAACCAUCACUGUUCAUGGGCUGCUUACUUCAUGGUGAGCUCUCAGAAAAGCCCUCGUAUUAGGUGGGACCUCAUGAGCCUCAUGGCUGAAGGAGCCUGAGCAGCUGCCUCAAUCCAGCAGAAAACCAGGGUCUGACUUGUCUAGGCCCACGCAUUUCUGAGCUGAGGUUCAGACGGUUCAAGGUUUGCUCUCCUGAGAUGGUGUACAGCCUGACCCUCGAUGCUUCAGCAGGUCUUGUCGACAUUUAGGGUUCCCAGACCCACGUCACGUCCUUCCAUCCCCAUAUUCCCAACUCCGUAAUCAUGACAGUCAUGAGCACCAUGAUGUCUGAGUCCCAGAAAAAUGCCGGCCAUUCUCAGCCAGGUCCCAGCCUGGGCCAGUGAGUCAAUUUACGUGUUCUAUUGUAAAAACAAGAUUGUUUUUUCUUUUGCCUCUGUUUAUAGAGACAAGUUCAAUGCCUUACAUACAAUAAAGGAAGAAGAGGAGUACACAAUUAUGGAUCAAUACAAGUCCCAGGAUCCUAUUCCCAAGAAGACACUCCCCCAGUUUCCGGGAUGAUGUGCUAAUGACCUCCUCAGGAAGACCACGAUCUCCUAAUAAUCAGAGGCCAGCCAGGCCUACCUGCCAGGAGAGAAGGGGCCAGGAUGCCCUCCAGCUUGGUGCCCCCUCAGGAUGACUGUCAAUACCUCUGAGGGGAAGCUGUCUGUAAAACUCGUGACUCCAGACACUUUCUGCACUUUGUGAAACAAUGGGUGUUAGGGAUGCUCGAGGAGUUCAUUGCUCAGGACUCUCCACACAGCUCAGCACUGGCAGCUGCAGCACAGAUGACAAGAGGGUGGGUGAAUCAUCAGAGUCCACGGACUGGAGAUGCUACAAGUGUAAAAAUUACCAGCAUCACAUCACAGAAGUCUCUGAGUCUCAUCAAGGAACCCCCACUCCUGAUAGAAGGCGAUGGCCAUGUCCUCAAAGUUCAUAUCUGUUCUGGACACUGCGACCUGGGCUGUGGGACCUGAGCGGCACUUGCACCCGAGGCUGGAGGGUUCAAUGGGGUGAGACUGAGUGGACUCUGUCAGCGGAGAGGAGUCUGGGCGGCACGGAGAUGCCAAUCCUCGGUGUUGGGCUCAACAGGCUCAGACCCACCUUUCGCAGUGGAGACACUGCCUCCCGAACCUCCUCCUACUCGUGCCCAAUGCCCAACGGGAGUGCUGAACCCCAUAGGUCCGUUAAUGGAAGCCAAAACCUCCCCCAGGAGGAACAUACCGGAAGCUACUUUAUUUUUUUAAUCAAAAUAUGCAGGGGAAAAACACCUUGCAUGGAAACAGAAACACCUGAUAUGUCUACUGAGCCAAAACCACUGGAAAUGUAAAAAAAAUAAAUAAAAAUCCAAUAGUCAUGUAGGACAGAGCUACAUCAAUAAUAGAAUAGAGAGUUCCAUCAAGAUGGCAGUGUAGGUAAACAUGGGACUUGCCACCUUCCACAACCACAUCAAAAUUACAACUAAAAUACAGAACAACCAUCAUUCAGAGCCACCAGAAAUCUGGCUUACUGGAAGUCCUACAACUAAGGACAUCCAGACUGGUAGGAAAGGCGAAGACACAGGGCAGAAUCUCUGAACCAGCUGGUCCCACAGCCACAUGUGGUGUUUUAAAAU
Molecule: long non-coding RNA, 3689 nt
Organism: Myotis myotis
Lineage: Eukaryota; Metazoa; Chordata; Mammalia; Chiroptera; Vespertilionidae
Exons: 4
Source: RefSeq, a predicted model, not a curated record